Molecule: long non-coding RNA, 316 nt
Filed under: Gossypium raimondii (Peruvian cotton)
Lineage: Eukaryota; Viridiplantae; Streptophyta; Magnoliopsida; Malvales; Malvaceae
Description: long non-coding RNA (GRAI_LNC001609)
Source: RNAcentral
CCGAAUUUGGAUGGCUAAGGGGGGGAGGCAGAGAGUGUUUGUCUGUUUUUUUUAUUUUUGAAGCUGAUUAGAAUGAAAUUUAGGUUUUUUUUAGUUUUUAUAGCAUUUAAAACGGCGCCGUAUUUGGACUUAGGGUUCAGAGGCCAAAACGACGUUGUUUUGGUCUCUGACCCGCGCGCGACCCGACCCGAUUGGCUCGGAUCCGCGUGUUUUAGCCUUGAGGGUUUAUUUGCGCAGGCAAUCCCUAUGUCUUUCAAGCGCACUUCAAUCCAGUCCUGUUAUUUCCUUUUAAAUUUAAUCUCCUAUUUUAUUUUUG